UAGGGAAUCUUCGGCAAUGGACGGAAGUCUGACCGAGCAACGCCGCGUGAGUGAAGAAGGUUUUCGGAUCGUAAAGCUCUGUUGUAAGUCAAGAACGAGUGUGAGAGUGGAAAGUUCACACUGUGACGGUAGCUUACCAGAAAGGGACGGCUAACUACGUGCCAGCAGCCGCGGUAAUACGUAGGUCCCGAGCGUUGUCCGGAUUUAUUGGGCGUAAAGCGAGCGCAGGCGGUUUGAUAAGUCUGAAGUUAAAGGCUGUGGCUCAACCAUAGUUCGCUUUGGAAACUGUCAAACUUGAGUGCAGAAGGGGAGAGUGGAAUUCCAUGUGUAGCGGUGAAAUGCGUAGAUAUAUGGAGGAACACCGGUGGCGAAAGCGGCUCUCUGGUCUGUAACUGACGCUGAGGCUCGAAAGCGUGGGGAGCGAACAGGAUUAGAUACCCUGGUAGUCCACGCCGUAAACGAUGAGUGCUAGGUGUUGGAUCCUUUCCGGGAUUCAGUGCCGCAGCUAACGCANUANGCACUCCGCCUGGGGAGUACGACCGCAGGU
Molecule: ribosomal RNA, 547 nt
Filed under: uncultured bacterium
Lineage: Bacteria
Description: bacterial SSU rRNA
Rfam family: Bacterial small subunit ribosomal RNA
Source: RNAcentral